Molecule: ribosomal RNA, 447 nt
Filed under: uncultured bacterium
Lineage: Bacteria
Description: partial 16S ribosomal RNA
Rfam family: Bacterial small subunit ribosomal RNA
Source: RNAcentral
AGCGAACGCUGGCGGCAGGCUUAACACAUGCAAGUCGAACGCCCCUUCGGGGGAGUGGCAGACGGGUUAGUAACGCGUGGGAACGUGCCCUUUGGUUCGGAAUAUUCUCGGGAAACUGAGAGCAAUACCGGAUAAGCCCUACGGGGGAAAGAUUUAUCGCCAAAGGAGCGGCCCGCGUCAGAUUAGCUAGUUGGUAGGGUAAUGGCCUACCAAGGCUACGAUCUGUAGCUGGUCUGAGAGGAUGAUCAGCAACACUGGGACUGAGACACGGCCCAGACUCCUACGGGAGGCAGCAGUGGGGAAUAUUGGACAAUGGGCGAAAGCCUGAUCCAGCCAUGUCGCGUGGAUGAUGAAGGCCUUAGGGUUGUAAAAUCCUUUCACCGGAGAUGAUAAUGACAGUAUCCGGAGAAGAAGCCCCGGCUAACUUCGUGCCAGCCGCCGCCGUAA